UUUCUUAUUUAACCGGCUACCCAUCCAUCCAUUCAUUCUUUGCAAAUAAAAUCCUAACCAUUCAUCUAUCCUCCUCCUAUAGUCCCACAUCUAGAAAUCAUGAAAACCUCCUCUCUUCUAACAUCUAUUAAAAGGCUUCCAUACCUCCACCUUGAAAAUCAUCCGACAAUCCAAGAAUCUGAAAAACCUUCAAAAGCCUUUGCAAGG
Molecule: long non-coding RNA, 207 nt
Filed under: Elaeis guineensis (African oil palm)
Lineage: Eukaryota; Viridiplantae; Streptophyta; Magnoliopsida; Arecales; Arecaceae
Description: long non-coding RNA (EGUI_LNC032523)
Source: RNAcentral